GCAGCAGCCGCGGUAAUACGAAGGGUGCAAGCGUUAAUCGGAAUUACUGGGCGUAAAGCGUGCGUAGGCGGUUUGUUAAGUCUGUUGUGAAAUCCCCGGGCUCAACCUGGGAAUGGCAAUGGAUACUGGCAAGCUAGAGUGUGUCAGAGGAUGGUGGAAUUCCCGGUGUAGCGGUGAAAUGCGUAGAGAUCGGGAGGAACAUCAGUGGCGAAGGCGGCCAUCUGGGACAACACUGACGCUGAGGCACGAAAGCGUGGGGAGCAAACAGGAUUAGAUACCCCCGUAGUCCCUGUCUCUUAUAC
RNAcentral lists this ribosomal RNA (302 nucleotides) under uncultured bacterium. Its description in RNAcentral is "partial 16S ribosomal RNA". It matches the Rfam family "Bacterial small subunit ribosomal RNA", at positions 508 to 807 of the family's 1533-position model. The record is from RNAcentral.